GCAUUCUUAGCUCAGUUGGAUAGAGCAUCAGUCUUCUAAACUGUGGGUCACAGGUUCGAGUCCUGUAGAAUGCU
This 74-nucleotide transfer RNA is filed under the name Thecamonas trahens. Its description in RNAcentral is "tRNA-Arg". It matches the Rfam family "tRNA". Rfam says of the family: Transfer RNA (tRNA) molecules are approximately 80 nucleotides in length. Their secondary structure includes four short double-helical elements and three loops (D, anti-codon, and T loops). Further hydrogen bonds mediate the characteristic L-shaped molecular structure. tRNAs have two regions of fundamental functional importance: the anti-codon, which is responsible for specific mRNA codon recognition, and the 3' end, to which the tRNAs corresponding amino acid is attached (by aminoacyl-tRNA synthetases). tRNAs cope with the degeneracy of the genetic code in two manners: having more than one tRNA (with a specific anti-codon) for a particular amino acid; and 'wobble' base-pairing, i.e. permitting non-standard base-pairing at the 3rd anti-codon position. Lineage: Eukaryota; Apusomonadida; Apusomonadidae. The record is from RNAcentral.